GUUCCCUGGAGGGGCCCUGGGUGACGAUGUGGGCGAGUGGAGGGGGACCCCGACAUGUGAGGGAGGAAGCGUUCCGUGGUCCGUGAUGAGCCUUCGGAUUCUGGGUUUGGCGUAGCCCCCUCCCCUCUCAGGAAUCCUGGGACUUCAUAGACCUCACGUUGUCGAAGACUCAACGAAAGACUCCAACCGUUAUUCAUAAACAUUACCAAAUACAUCGCAUUAGACAUUUUUACAUGAGAAAAGUCAAAUUUACUCAACAGAAUUACCAUGAUAGACUUUCACAAAUUCUAACAGAUUUCCCUAAAUUGGAUGAUAUUCAUCCGUUCUAUGCUGAUUUGAUGAAUAUUCUCUACGACAAGGAUCAUUACAAGUUGGCUCUGGGGCAAAUAAAUAUUGC
This 397-nucleotide long non-coding RNA is filed under the name Pan troglodytes (chimpanzee). Its description in RNAcentral is "long non-coding RNA NONPTRT001555". Lineage: Eukaryota; Metazoa; Chordata; Mammalia; Primates; Hominidae. The record is from RNAcentral.